Non-coding RNA from Maylandia zebra (zebra mbuna), 512 nucleotides. The record is from RefSeq and is a predicted model, not a curated record. NCBI's taxonomy places the organism in Eukaryota, Metazoa, Chordata, Actinopteri, Cichliformes, Cichlidae.
CGCAGUUUAAAGUUGGCUGUUACUCUGCCCAGGCUGCUACCAUAGAAGAAGAAUGUAGACCAAUAGUACUUUAACGAUGUCCGCUGAUCGUUUCCGUGUAAAUCUUAGCAUUGCUUUAGCCGUCAAGCUAAAGGUUUAGCUUCAUACUGCCAUAUUUCAGAGUAACAAAAUAUUUAAACGGUCUCAGAUCAUGGACAGUGAAGUGUCUGACACUGACCAUGUACCAGUGCCUGAGAACACUGGUAUGGAGGGGGAGAACGCACCUCUUUACUGUAUUUGUCGGAAACCAGACAUCAACUGCUCCAUGAUGCUUUGCCAUGAUAAAUUGGUCAGUUGACAACCAGGAGCCGUACACCUUAACCUCAGAGGCCAGGACAUCCAGGGGCAGUGUGAACACGCACUUGCUUAAAUGGGAUGCAAGACGGACUAUAGAGGGCCACCCGCUUGCCAGACAACCAAGUGCUGUCCCUGUCCACGGCCAGUGUGAGAAGGACUCUCACUAAAGUCAACCC